Molecule: long non-coding RNA, 2664 nt
Filed under: Sus scrofa (pig)
Lineage: Eukaryota; Metazoa; Chordata; Mammalia; Artiodactyla; Suidae
Description: lncRNA (ENSSSCG00000059292.1)
Source: RNAcentral
UCCUAGUAACCGUGCCUGAGGUGGGGAUCCCCUGAGAGCGUUUACGACCAAUGGGAGAAUAACAUGGCAGCGCCAGGGCCGGGCCGGUUUCUCAAUGUCAGGGGCUGCUCUCUUUUUCUUUCUCAACUUGCUAAAUAACUGUUCAUUUGCACUCGUUUUCUUCCUCCAGGGAAACUGUAAGUGAAUAUACCUGGGAACCUCCAUAUGCUGCGGGUGCGGCCCUAAAAAGAAAAAAAAGUUUUAUUAUAGUUAAUUUACAAUGUUCUAUUUCUGCUGUACAGCAAAGUGACCCAGUCAUACAUAUAUUCUUUUUCUCACAUUGUCCUCCAUCGUGUUCCAUCACAAGUGAUUGGAUAGAGUUCCCUGUGCUACACAGCAGGGCCUCAUUGCUUAUCCCCUGCAAAUGUAGUAGUUUGCAUCUACUAACCCCAGACUCCCAGUCCCUGUCCCCCUCCCGUAGCAAUCACAAGUCUGUUCUCCAAGUCCAUGAGUUUCUUUUCUGUAGAUAGGUUCAUUUGUACCAUAUAUUAGAUUCCAGAUAUAAGGGAUAUCAUAUGGUAUUUGUCUUUCUCUUUCUGGAUUACUUCACUGAGUGUGAGAGUCUCUAGUUCCAUCCAUGUUGCCACAAAUGGCAUUAUUUUGUUCUUUUUUUUUCUUAGCUGAGCAGUAUUCCAUUGUGUACAUGUACCACAUUGUCUUAAUCCAUUCAUCUGUCAAUGAACGUUUAGGUUGUUCCCACAUCUUGGCUAUUGUGAAUAGUGCUGCUAAGAUCAUAAGGGUGCAUGUACCUUUUGGAAUUAUAGUUUUGUUUGGCUAUAUGCCGGGGAGUGGGAUUGCUGGAUCAUAUGGUAGUUCUAUAUUUAGUUUCCUGAGGCACCUCCGUACCGAUUUCCAUAGUGGUGGUACCAAUUUACAUUCAGGAGGAUUCUGAACAUCCCUUCCAGCCUGAGGGGUCUCUGUGGAGACAUUUUCACCAUCAACAGUAGCACCAACAGCACUAAUGCUCUGGCUCUUCCUGGAUUACCGUGGCCUGCAGUUAAGAACCUGCCACCAGGAGUUCCUGUUGUGGCUUAACAGGUCUAGAACCUGACACGAGGAGGAAUGCGGGUUCAAUCUCUGGCCUCGCUCAGUGGGUUAAGGAUCUGGCAUUGCCAAAGCUGCGGCUUAGGUCACAGAUGCGGCUCGGAUCCUUUGUGACUGUAGCUGUGGCAUAGGCUGGCAGCGGCAGCUCCAAUGUGCCCCCUAGCCUGGGAACUUCCAUACGUUGCAGAUGUGCCCCCCACCCCUCAAAAAAGCUGCCACCAUUGACUAAGGCCUCAGGGCCAGGUUGUCAUUUUUCUUCUUUUCUUCUGGCAGUAUCUAGCGCAUUGCUCCAGAUACGCACACAUAUAUCCGUUGGUUUUACAGUUACCUGCGUUAACCUGAAUCUCAUCUUGGUUCUUCCACUGCCUUGGCAAGUCACUUCCUCCCCAGCACCUGAGCUCCGUAUCUGUAGGUGAGGGGCUGGUCUAAGACCCCUUCUAACUCUUGUCUCCUGUGAUACGCAGCUUCCACCCUCUCAAAGCGGCCAAACAUUAAAACCAGGUCACUUCUGCGAAGCAAUUUAUAAGCACAGUUUCCCCAGCAUCGGACUCGGACCGUAAAAUGGAAGGCAGACAGAAAACCAAAUAACAAGCACAGUGUACGGACAUAAAGGAUGAAGUAGCAGAGACUGAGGGUGUUUUUCAGUGUAGCCGGAGGUGCUUGAGAGAAAGUGGGUCCUCUCGCCAAUGACAUUUGAGAGUCUAGUCCAUUCUAAUGAGAGGAAUGAUGGCACUCGGGUGUUGUCUGGGGUCAUGCGGGUGAGAUGGCAUCCACAGGCAGGGAACAUCCUCCUGGGGGGUCUAAGUUUUGAGGGCUCCCCCCUGAAUGCCCGGGGCAAUGUAGCAGAAGGUGUAAUUGGCACAACUCAGUGGUCAAGCCCCACCCAGAGCAGAGAGAACAGGAUGGCCUCACAGGGGUCAGCUGGCCAGACUCCACGUCUUCACCUCACAGACCAGGCCUUGUGCUAGGACUGAUUUCAAAGACCAACAGCUAUGGUCCUUGCCUUCCCAGAGCUCUUGACACAGGUCAACAAAUAAACAAUAAUCCCAUGUGAUAAGUGCUGCUCAGAGAGACAAAUUCAUGGUCACGAAAUGCAGAGGGGUCAGAUGUUCCUAGAGGGUAGGGGCGGUAAGGCCACUUUCCACCUAAAUCUUGAAGGAAAAUACAGGUGAGAAAGUGAGAAAGGACAGUCCCAUCCAGGCAGAGAUGAGGGUGGGUGAAUGUGCGGAGCUGGGAGAGGGUCUGUGUCUGAGGAACGGUGAGCAGGUGUGCCGGCCGUGUGUGCUGGUGCAAGAAGCAAGGUGGGGCAUCUGCAUCAGAGGAGGUCUGGCUGGAAAGAGGGAUGGCCCAGGUUGGGAGGGGAUUUGUGUUCGAAGAAAGGAGUUUGGGGAGGUCCCAUCAUGGCUCAGCGGAAACGAAUCUGACUAGACUAGUAACCAUGAGGUUGCAGGUUUGAUCCCCUCCUCCUCCCCCACCCCCUGCCCCCAGCAGGUUAAGGAUCUGGUGUUGCUGGGAGCUGGCAUGAGCUGGCAUUGCUGUGGCUCAGAUUGGUAGCUACAGUUCUGAUUUGACUCCUAGCCU